Molecule: unclassified non-coding RNA, 280 nt
Organism: Erinaceus europaeus (western European hedgehog)
Lineage: Eukaryota; Metazoa; Chordata; Mammalia; Eulipotyphla; Erinaceidae
Gene: 7SK
Rfam family: 7SK RNA
About the family: 7SK was discovered as an abundant small nuclear RNA in the mid-70s but a possible function has only recently been suggested. Two independent studies have found that 7SK RNA binds the CDK9/cyclin T complex (known as elongation factor P-TEFb).
Source: Ensembl
GGAUGUGAGGGCAAUCUGGCUACAACAUCUGUCACCCCACUGAUUGCCAGGGUUGAUUGGGCUGAUCUGGCUGGCUAGGCGGGUGUCCUGUUCCUCCCUCACUGCUCCAUGUGCAUCCCUCCCGAAGCUGCGUACUCAAUCGAAGAGGACGGCCUUCCCCGAAUAGAGACCAACCGGUGUUCAGUCAAGGUUAUUUGAGUAGUUGUGCUCCCCUGUUAGGACCUCCAAACAAGCUCUCAAGAAUAGGGAAAGUUUAGAGAGGGAGGGGAUAUGGGACUCU